Molecule: transfer RNA, 76 nt
Filed under: Vibrio parahaemolyticus
Lineage: Bacteria; Pseudomonadati; Pseudomonadota; Gammaproteobacteria; Vibrionales; Vibrionaceae
Description: tRNA-Gly
Rfam family: tRNA
About the family: Transfer RNA (tRNA) molecules are approximately 80 nucleotides in length. Their secondary structure includes four short double-helical elements and three loops (D, anti-codon, and T loops).
Source: RNAcentral
GCGACACUAGCUCAGUUGGUAGAGCGCAACCUUGCCAAGGUUGAGGGUUCGAGUUCGAACCUCGUGUGUCGCUCCA